AAGGUUUGUCUCUGAGCUGAGUAUAACUUUUAUUGGUAAGCGGCACAUUUCACAAUUUGUUCUCAUAAUUACUAAGUAUUGCCAAUAAAACUUUAUAAAUGGGUAAGUAAUGAAGAAAACGUCCUCUGGACAGCUUAAAUAUGUGAAAAAUGAAUUAUUAUUACAUUAUGUCUGAAUUUACCAAAAUAAUAAUCUCGUCUGAAUAAGAGCUUCAACCAUAAUCCCAUAUUGUCCUUUGUAUGUUUCAGUGAUUUUGCCAGUCUUCAUCGCCACCAUUGUCGUCUUCCUGGUGCUAGUAUGUGCUCUACUCUUUGUUAUCAGGGCUCAGAGGACUCAACACAACCUGCUUAAGAGUCAGAGGUCAGGUAACACCAGCACAGUUGCCAUGAGCCAACAUCUACCAAGUGGAGAAGGAAAUGAGGAACCCAACAAUACAGAUGAGGACAUUUAUGUCAACACCUAUGAGCUGAAGAAACCAGGUGUCACCCAACCUGCAACUACCUCUGAGCCAAUCAGCACCAACUUACCAAGCUCAAGCAGA
Molecule: non-coding RNA, 541 nt
Organism: Labrus bergylta (ballan wrasse)
Lineage: Eukaryota; Metazoa; Chordata; Actinopteri; Labriformes; Labridae
Source: RefSeq, a predicted model, not a curated record